This is a long non-coding RNA of Syzygium oleosum, 596 nucleotides long. RefSeq lists it as uncharacterized. Lineage: Eukaryota; Viridiplantae; Streptophyta; Magnoliopsida; Myrtales; Myrtaceae. The record is from RefSeq and is a predicted model, not a curated record. The transcript is spliced from 2 exons.
CCAAAAGGUAAAGCUUUCAACCCCCACAUGAAACUGGCAAAAACCCUACCAGAAAACCAGAACUCUCAAAUUCAAGGCAAAUUAUGUUUCUUUCCCUCUAAAUUAAAAGCAAAGUAAAGAGAAUGAAAAUGGAAAAAACGAGAAGAAAAAAAAAAAAGAGGGAGGGAGAUGUGGAAUAUAAGAUCAGAAGUGUGGAUCAUCACCUUGCGACCAUACUUGAGGACAGAAAAAAAAAAUUAACAAUUUUGCCUCCAAAAAAUAAAGCUUUCACCCUACAUGAAACUGACAAAAACCCUACUAGAAAAACCAGAACUCUCAGCUUCAAGGCAAAUUAAUUUCUUUCCCUCUGAAUUAAAAGCAAAGUAAAGAGAACAGAAAUGGGAAAAAAGAGAGAAGAGAAAGGGAGAUGUGGAGCAUAAGAUCAGAAGUGGGGAUCAUCACCUUGCAGCCGAACUUGAGGAAGACACCCAGAGGAGGCAAGAUGAUGGCGAGGAGGAUGUCUAUGCAGUUCAUCGUGCCCUCGUCCGCCAUUUUCUGCUCUUCUUUCCUUCUGCAGAAACCCCUCUUGAACGAGCUUUGAAGAAGAUGGGCUGGAA